RNAcentral lists this ribosomal RNA (382 nucleotides) under uncultured bacterium. RNAcentral describes it as "bacterial SSU rRNA". It matches the Rfam family "Bacterial small subunit ribosomal RNA", at positions 29 to 414 of the family's 1533-position model. The record is from RNAcentral.
AUUGAACGCUGGCGGCAUGCCUUACACAUGCAAGUCGAGCGGCAGCGCGGGGGCAACCCUGGCGGCGAGCGGCGAACGGGUGAGUAAUACAUCGGAACGUGUCCAGUAGCGGGGGAUAUCCUGUCGAAAGAUAGGCUAAUACCGCAUACGACCUACGGGUGAAAGCGGGGACCGCAAGGCCUCGCACUAUUGGAGCGGCCGAUGUCGGAUUAGCUAGUUGGCGGGGAACGGCCCACCAAGGCGACGAUCCGUAGCUGGUCUGAGAGGACGACCAGCCACACUGGAACUGAGACACGGUCCAGACUCCUACGGGAGGCAGCAGUGGGGAAUUUUGGACAAUGGGCGCAAGCCUGAUCCAGCCAUGCCGCGUGAGUGAAGAAGG